This 658-nucleotide ribosomal RNA is filed under the name Anthostomella sp. RNAcentral's name for it is "eukaryotic LSU rRNA". The stretch from base 271 to 424 matches the Rfam family "5.8S ribosomal RNA". Lineage: Eukaryota; Fungi; Ascomycota; Sordariomycetes; Xylariales; Xylariaceae. The record is from RNAcentral.
AAGGUCUCCGUUGGUGAACCAGCGGAGGGAUCAUUAAAGAGUGUUAACACACCCUAAACCCAUGUGAACAUACCUCCUGUUGCCUCCGCGGAUAACAGGUCGGCCUCUGGAGAAUUAGUACUACCCUGUACUCUCCUGGACUGUCGAAAAGCCCGGAACACAAAUCGUAUCCGGGGCUGAGUAGCGACCGGAGGCCUUCCUGCCCGCGAAAGGUCCGACAAACACUUGUUUUAUAAACCUGCAACUCUGAAUUAUAAACAAAUAAGUUAAAACUUUCAACAACGGAUCUCUUGGUUCUGGCAUCGAUGAAGAACGCAGCGAAAUGCGAUAAGUAAUGUGAAUUGCAGAAUUCAGUGAAUCAUCGAAUCUUUGAACGCACAUUGCGCCCAUUGGCAUUCCAGUGGGCAUGCCUGUUCGAGCGUCAUUUCAACCCUUAAGCCCCUGUAGCUUAGCGUUGAGAGCCUACCGGUCCCCCGUGGCCUGUAGCUCUCCAAAGUUAGUGGCGGAGUUAGCACAUACUCUAGGCGCAGUAAUUCUUAUCUCGCCUCUGUAGUGGUGCUGGCCCCUGCCGUAAAACACCCCCUAUUUUCAAUGGUUGACCUCGGAUCAGGUAGGAAUACCCGCUGAACUUAAGCAUAUCAAUAAGCGGAGAAAAGAA